Molecule: ribosomal RNA, 253 nt
Filed under: uncultured bacterium
Lineage: Bacteria
Description: partial 16S ribosomal RNA
Rfam family: Bacterial small subunit ribosomal RNA
Source: RNAcentral
UACGUAGGUGGCAAGCGUUGUCCGGAAUUACUGGGCGUAAAGCGCGUGUAGGCGGCUUAUUAAGUCGGACGUGAAAUCCCUUGGCUUAACCAAGGAACUGCGUCCGAUACUGCUAAGCUUGAGUGUCGGAGGGGGUGGCGGAAUUCCCGGUGUAGAGGUGAAAUUCGUAGAUAUCGGGAGGAACACCUGUGGCGAAGGCGGCCACCUGGAAGACAACUGACGCUGAGACGCGAAAGCGUGGGGAGCAAACAGG